RNAcentral lists this ribosomal RNA (1457 nucleotides) under uncultured Bordetella sp. Its description in RNAcentral is "partial 16S-23S ribosomal RNA intergenic spacer". It matches the Rfam family "Bacterial small subunit ribosomal RNA". Lineage: Bacteria; Pseudomonadati; Pseudomonadota; Betaproteobacteria; Burkholderiales; Alcaligenaceae. The record is from RNAcentral.
UCAGUCUAGCUCAGAUUGAACGCUGGCAGGAUGCUACGCGCGUACAGUCGAACGGCAGCGGACUUCAGAGAUGCAGGUGGCGAUGGCGAACAGGUGAGAGUAAUGCUUGUCGGAACGUGCCUGAUAGCGGGGAUAACUGCGCGCGAAAGCGCUAAUACCGCCGCGCUAAGGAAAGCAGGACAUGGGCCUCUGCACUGUGCGAAACGGCAAUAUCGGAUUAGCUGCGUUGCGUUGAGAUGGCUCCACCAGGCGGCAAAUCGCCAGCUACAGUUCCGAGGACGACAAGCCACACUGGGACUUCAGGAACUUGGCUUCCAGACUCACUGCAGGAGGCAGCGAGCCGAGAGGUACGGACUCAUCCCAGGGAAACCGGUCAAUAUCCCGCAUCGCCCGCGUGAAGGCCUUCGGUUCGCCAAAAGCACUUUUGGCAGAAAAGCCGGCACGGAUAGCCACCUUGCAGCGAUGACCUGCAGGAAUAACGCAAACUAACUACAGUACAAUAAGCCGCCGGUAAUACAUAGUUGCAGCAUUAAUCAGAAUUUUACCUGAGCGUAAAGCGGCGCGGCGGUUCGGAAGAAGAUAAUAGUCCGGGCUAGCGGAGAUUGUGCACCACUACAGGCUGGAAUAUGUCGGGUGGUGCGUAUAACGGUGGUAAUGCGAUCUGCAGAGGGCACCGAUGGCGACAACCUCCUGGGUUAACGCAACGCUCUUGCAGCGUGGGAGCAAACAGGAUUAGAUACCCUGGUAGUCCACGCCCUAAACGAUGUCAACUAGCUGUUGAGGCCUUCGGGCCUUGGUAGCGCAGCUAGCAUAAGUUGUUGACCGCACGCCUGGGGAGAGUACGGUCGCAAGAUUAAAACUCAAGGAAUUGACGAGGACCGCACAAGCGGUGGAUGAUGUGGAUUAAUUCGAUGCAGCGCGCGAAAGACCUUACCUACCCCCUUGACAUGUCUGGAAUCCCGAAGGGUUGGGAGUGCUCAAACAAGAGAACCGGAACACAGGUGCUGCAUAGCUGUCGUGCAGCUCGUGUCGUGAGAUGUUGGGUUAAGUCCGCAACAGCGCGAACCCUUGUCAUUUAAGUUGCUACGAAGGGAGCACUCUAAUGAGACUGCCGGUGACAAACCGGAGGAAGGUGGGGAUGACGUCGAGUCCUCAUAUUACAUGGGUAGGGCUUCACACGUCAUACAAUGGUCAGCAGAGGGUCGCCAACCCGCGAGGGGGAACCAAUCCCAGAAACCCGAUCGUAGUCCGGAUCGCAGUCUGCCAACUCGACUGCGUGAAGUCGGAAUCGCUAGUAAUCGCGGAUCCAGCAUGUCGCGGUGAAUACGUUCCCGGGUCUUAUACACACCGCCCGUACACCAUGGGAGUGGGUUUUACAGAAGUAGUUAGCCUAACCGUAAGGGAGGGCGAUUACCACGGUAGGAUUCAUGACUGGGGGUGAAGUCGUAACAAGGUAA